This 253-nucleotide ribosomal RNA is filed under the name uncultured bacterium. RNAcentral's name for it is "partial 16S ribosomal RNA". It matches the Rfam family "Bacterial small subunit ribosomal RNA", at positions 524 to 776 of the family's 1533-position model. RNAcentral also lists the same sequence under 1 other name. The record is from RNAcentral.
UACAGAGGGUGCAAGCGUUAAUCGGAAUUACUGGGCGUAAAGCGCGCGUAGGCGGUUCGAUAAGUCGGGUGUGAAAGCCCCGGGCUCAACCUGGGAAUUGCAUUCGAUACUGUCGAGCUAGAGUAUGGUAGAGGAAAGCGGAAUUCCACAUGUAGCGGUGAAAUGCGUAGAUAUGUGGAGGAACAUCAGUGGCGAAGGCGGCUUUCUGGACCAAUACUGACGCUGAGGCGCGAAAGCGUGGGGAGCAAACAGG